RNAcentral lists this ribosomal RNA (491 nucleotides) under uncultured bacterium. RNAcentral describes it as "partial 16S ribosomal RNA". It matches the Rfam family "Bacterial small subunit ribosomal RNA", at positions 27 to 507 of the family's 1533-position model. The record is from RNAcentral.
GGAUGAACGCUAGCGAUAGGCUUAACACAUGCAAGUCGAGGGGCAGCAUGGUCUUAGCUUGCUAAGGCUGAUGGCGACCGGCGCACGGGUGCGUAACGCGUAUGCAACUUGCCUCACAGAGGGGGAUAACCCGUCGAAAGACGGACUAAUACCGCGUACACUCUAUGUUGGGCAUCCAAUGUAGAGGAAAUGAAAUUCGCUGUGAGAUAGGCAUGCGUCCCAUUAGCUAGUUGGUGAGGUAACGGCUCACCAAGGCGACGAUGGGUAGGGGAACUGAGAGGUUGAACCCCCACACUGGUACUGAGACACGGACCAGACUCCUACGGGAGGCAGCAGUGAGGAAUAUUGGUCAAUGGGCGAGAGCCUGAACCAGCCAAGUCGCGUGAAGGAUGACUGUCUUAUGGAUUGUAAACUUCUUUUAUACGGGAAUAACAAGAGUCACGUGUGGCUCCCUGCAUGUACCGUAUGAAUAAGCAUCGGCUAACUCCGUG